RNAcentral lists this ribosomal RNA (327 nucleotides) under uncultured eukaryote. Its description in RNAcentral is "partial 18S ribosomal RNA". It matches the Rfam family "Eukaryotic small subunit ribosomal RNA", at positions 1470 to 1796 of the family's 1831-position model. The record is from RNAcentral.
CCCUUAGAUGUUCUGGGCCGCACGCGCGCUACACUGAUUCAUGCAACAAGUUUUGUCCUUGGCUGAUAGGCCUGGGUAAUCUUUGAACGUGAAUCGUGAUGGGGAUAGAUGAUUGCAAUUAUUCAUCUUCAACGAGGAAUUCCUAGUAAACGCAAGUCAUCAGCUUGCAUUGAUUACGUCCCUGCCCUUUGUACACACCGCCCGUCGCACCUACCGAUUGAAUGGUCCGGUGAAAUCUUCGGAUCUGAGAGAUGUCUGAUUAAUUUCGGACGCCUUUUGGAAAAGUUGCUUAAACCUUNCNAUUUACNGGAAGGUGAANUCGUANCA